Molecule: ribosomal RNA, 459 nt
Filed under: Pseudomonas sp. R-41745
Lineage: Bacteria; Pseudomonadati; Pseudomonadota; Gammaproteobacteria; Pseudomonadales; Pseudomonadaceae
Also listed under: 4 other names
Description: bacterial SSU rRNA
Rfam family: Bacterial small subunit ribosomal RNA
Source: RNAcentral
AUUGAACGCUGGCGGCAGGCCUAACACAUGCAAGUCGAGCGGUAGAGAGAAGCUUGCUUCUCUUGAGAGCGGCGGACGGGUGAGUAAUGCCUAGGAAUCUGCCUGGUAGUGGGGGAUAACGUUCGGAAACGGACGCUAAUACCGCAUACGUCCUACGGGAGAAAGCAGGGGACCUUCGGGCCUUGCGCUAUCAGAUGAGCCUAGGUCGGAUUAGCUAGUUGGUGAGGUAAUGGCUCACCAAGGCGACGAUCCGUAACUGGUCUGAGAGGAUGAUCAGUCACACUGGAACUGAGACACGGUCCAGACUCCUACGGGAGGCAGCAGUGGGGAAUAUUGGACAAUGGGCGAAAGCCUGAUCCAGCCAUGCCGCGUGUGUGAAGAAGGUCUUCGGAUUGUAAAGCACUUUAAGUUGGGAGGAAGGGUUGUAGAUUAAUACUCUGCAAUUUGACGUACCGACAG